CCUACGGGAGGCAGCAGUGGGGAAUUUUGGACAAUGGGCGCAAGCCUGAUCCAGCCAUGCCGCGUGUCUGAAGAAGGCCUUCGGGUUGUAAAGGACUUUUGUCAGGGAAGAAAAGGCUUUUGCUAAUACCAGGAGCUGAUGACGGUACCUGAAGAAUAAGCACCGGCUAACUACGUGCCAGCAGCCGCGGUAAUACGUAGGGUGCGAGCGUUAAUCGGAAUUACUGGGCGUAAAGCGGGCGCAGACGGUUUGUUAAGCAGGAUGUGAAAUCCCCGGGCUCAACCUGGGAACUGCGUUCUGAACUGGCAGGCUAGAGUGUGUCAGAGGGGGGUAGAAUUCCACGUGUAGCAGUGAAAUGCGUAGAGAUGUGGAGGAAUACCGAUGGCGAAGGCAGCCCCCUGGGAUAACACUGACGUUCAUGCCCGAAAGCGUGGGUAGCAAACAGGAUUAGAUACCCCAGUAGUC
RNAcentral lists this ribosomal RNA (465 nucleotides) under uncultured Neisseriaceae bacterium. Its description in RNAcentral is "bacterial SSU rRNA". It matches the Rfam family "Bacterial small subunit ribosomal RNA", at positions 338 to 795 of the family's 1533-position model. Lineage: Bacteria; Pseudomonadati; Pseudomonadota; Betaproteobacteria; Neisseriales; Neisseriaceae. The record is from RNAcentral.